AAUCUGUAUAGAAAAAAUUUAUGGGGUAUCCGGGAAAGGGUGAACAGGCCCGGUAUAUAGGGAACCCUACCAUGAAUGUUACCUCAGUCAGACGAGGGUAGGAAGUCCCUUACUAGGAAAGUUUGAGAGAUAUGGUUCAUUCUCAUACUGGACGGAAUAUCGAGGUAGUGGCAUGUUUAACACCCAUACCGAACAGGUAUGGGGACGACCAGUUAAUUGUUUAAUUGG
This 228-nucleotide long non-coding RNA is filed under the name Carica papaya (papaya). Its description in RNAcentral is "long non-coding RNA (CPAP_LNC004489)". The record is from RNAcentral. Lineage: Eukaryota; Viridiplantae; Streptophyta; Magnoliopsida; Brassicales; Caricaceae.